CCUACGGGGGGCUGCAGUGAGGAAUAUUGCGCAAUGGACGAAAGUCUGACGCAGCAACGCCGCGUGCGGGAUGAAGGGGCUAUGCCUUGUAAACCGCUGUAGCCUGGGAAGAAAACGGCCCUCGGGGCCCGGGACUGUACCAGGAAAGUAAGCAUCGGCUAACUACGUGCCAGCAGCCGCGGUAAUACGUAGGAUGCAAGCGUUGUCCGGAUUUACUGGGUGUAAAGGGUGCGCAGGCGGAGAAGUAAGUCAGAGGUGAAAGCCUACAGCUCAAC
Molecule: ribosomal RNA, 275 nt
Filed under: uncultured bacterium
Lineage: Bacteria
Description: partial 16S ribosomal RNA
Rfam family: Bacterial small subunit ribosomal RNA
Source: RNAcentral